GAUGAAGAACGCAGCGAAAUGCGAUAAGUAGUGUGAAUUGCAGAAUUCAGUGAAUCAUCGAAUCUUUGAACGCACAUUGCGCCCCUUGGUAUCCCGAGGGGCAUGCCUGUUCGAGCGUCAUUUCACCACUCAAGCCUGGCUUGGUGUUGGGCGACGUCCUCUUUGGGGACGCGCCUCGAAACGCUCGGCGGCGUGGCACCUGCUUUAAGCGUAGCAGAAUCUUUCGCUUUGGAAGUCGGGGCCCCGUCUGCCGGAAGACCUGCUCGCAAGGUUGACCUCGGAUCAGGCAGGGAUACCCGCUGAACUUAAGCAUAUCAAUAAGCGGAGGA
This 329-nucleotide unclassified non-coding RNA is filed under the name soil metagenome. RNAcentral's name for it is "partial contains 5.8S ribosomal RNA, internal transcribed spacer 2, and large subunit ribosomal RNA". The stretch from base 1 to 120 matches the Rfam family "5.8S ribosomal RNA", at positions 35 to 154 of the family's 154-position model. The record is from RNAcentral.